AUCCUUUGGUUCAUAAGAGUGAUGAUUGGGUGUUCACGCUUUUGUGUGAGAUGUGCCUCCCUCUAAACCUUGUUAUGAUAUCGGCACAUUACCCGUCUGACA
Molecule: small nucleolar RNA, 102 nt
Filed under: Marmota marmota marmota (Alpine marmot)
Lineage: Eukaryota; Metazoa; Chordata; Mammalia; Rodentia; Sciuridae
Description: Small nucleolar RNA U13 (ENSMMMG00000005215.1)
Rfam family: Small nucleolar RNA U13
Source: Rfam by way of RNAcentral